Long non-coding RNA from Lycium barbarum (goji berry), 584 nucleotides. RefSeq lists it as uncharacterized. The record is from RefSeq and is a predicted model, not a curated record. Lineage: Eukaryota; Viridiplantae; Streptophyta; Magnoliopsida; Solanales; Solanaceae. The transcript is spliced from 3 exons.
CUUAUCAUUUUCCAAGCCAAACGAUCCCUAACCCUUCUCUCUUCCCUUCCCCUUAACCCAUACGCUAACCCUAGCGCCGCCAGGCUUUGUGCCUUCUCUCUCAUGCCAGAAAUGGAAAAGCUGCAGAGAGUAAAAGGCUUUGCAGCCUUCGUACACCCUUUUCGCAUGAUAACAUUAAUGAUCCAACCUCGUUUUCAUCUCCUUCCUUCCAAACACGGUUUGAGUCCCUUAGUUAUUUUUUUUCCUUCUUUUUGGCUGAGUUGGAGGGUGGAAGCACAAGGAGCUUUUGAAUCCAUUCUUGGCCAAUGGUUGCAUUGAAAAAAGCCUCCCUAUUGGGCCAGGACAAUUCUUUCAGAUUUCUAUAGAGUCCGAGGAAGGGAAGCUAAUAUGUGUAUCCAUGAAGGCCCAACCAUGGGUGAAAAUGGUUAAGGGGUUUGGUACACCCCAAGUUAUUUCAUUAUUAUUGUAUGAUACAUUUACAUUUAUACUUGUAUUUGUAAACUCACAUUACUAUUGGAAACCAAAUGGUUGGAACUAGACGUUUUAGGCAAACGGUACUUAAGCCGUUUAGUUGGACUUUAGGC